CGCGUAGGCGGGCCGGACGGUCCGGAGUGAAAUCCCCCCGCUCAACGGGGAACGGCUCCGGAUACCGCCGGCCUCGAGGGGGGUAGGGGCGAGCGGAACGCUGGGUGGAGCGGUGAAAUGCGUUGAUAUCCAGCGGAACUCCGGUGGCGAAGGCGGCUCGCUGGGCCCUCUCUGACGCUGAGGCGCGAAAGCCAGGGGAGCGAACG
RNAcentral lists this ribosomal RNA (206 nucleotides) under uncultured bacterium. Its description in RNAcentral is "partial 16S ribosomal RNA". It matches the Rfam family "Bacterial small subunit ribosomal RNA", at positions 568 to 774 of the family's 1533-position model. The record is from RNAcentral.